Molecule: ribosomal RNA, 155 nt
Filed under: Drosophila rubrifrons
Lineage: Eukaryota; Metazoa; Arthropoda; Insecta; Diptera; Drosophilidae
Description: partial 28S ribosomal RNA
Source: RNAcentral
CGAAAAUAUCAUUAACGUUAUACGGGCCUGGCACCCUCUAUGGGUAAAUGGCCUCAUUUAAGAAGGACUUAAAUCGUUAAUUUCUCAUACUAGAAUAUUGAUGUUCCAUACACUGCAUCUCACAUUUGCCAUUGAGACAAAGUGACUUAGUGCUU